Molecule: ribosomal RNA, 565 nt
Filed under: uncultured bacterium
Lineage: Bacteria
Description: bacterial SSU rRNA
Rfam family: Bacterial small subunit ribosomal RNA
Source: RNAcentral
GGAAUUUUGGACAAUGGGCGCAAGCCUGAUCCAGCAAUGCCGCGUGCAGGAUGAAGGCCUUCGGGUUGUAAACUGCUUUUGUACGGAACGAAACGGUCUACUCUAAUACAGUGGGCUAAUGACGGUACCGUAAGAAUAAGCACCGGCUAACUACGUGCCAGCAGCCGCGGUAAUACGUAGGGUGCGAGCGUUAAUCGGAAUUACUGGGCGUAAAGCGUGCGCAGGCGGUUAUAUAAGACAGAUGUGAAAUCCCCGGGCUCAACCUGGGACCUGCAUUUGUGACUGUAUAGCUAGAGUACGGUAGAGGGGGAUGGAAUUCCGCGUGUAGCAGUGAAAUGCGUAGAUAUGCGGAGGAACACCGAUGGCGAAGGCAAUCCCCUGGACCUGUACUGACGCUCAUGCACGAAAGCGUGGGGAGCAAACAGGAUUAGAUACCCUGGUAGUCCACGCCCUAAACGAUGUCAACUGGUUGUUGGGUCUUCACUGACUCAGUAACGAAGCUAACGCGUGAAGUUGACCGCCUGGGGAGUACGGCCGCAAGGUUGAAACUCAAAUGAAUUGACGG